ACUCUCGGAAGACCUGCCCCGCUUCAACACGAUUGACUCCAGCAUCGCGGGAAGGGCCACCGUAAGGUGUGGACGCAGCUGACAACAAAGCCUGUUAGGAUGGUGUCUGACAGGUUACGACUGACACCCACUUCUCAGUUGCGGACCUGAAGGACUCCACAUCAUGUAAUGAAUGUGAGAGCCACACUUCAAGAGGUUGUCUCACAAUAUUUCAGGCAUUUACUCAGGCGGACAAGACUUUAUUUGAGCUCCAGCUAAGUGUUUCAUAACCACAACAGUCUGGUUUCGGAGAGUAGGAAAAGAGGAAGGCAGAAAUACGCCAUGUUCCCUCCCCAGUAAACCACACCCUAGCUUUGAAAGAAACAUAACUGAACCCUGAUGUCAUAGCUGGACGUCAGCCCACAAACUCUGUGGAGUAAAGUCUAUACAGUCAGAGUGCAUCAGAUUUUCCUUUACAACCGCUCAUUGCAGGCUGCAUGAGUAACGAAGUAAAGCAAUGAAAGAUCCAGUGUACAGUGCUGUACAUUUGAAUUGUGUUUACAUUUAUUGCAGAGUUGAAAAUUAGAAUUACUGCUUCCGAUAGAAGUACUAAAAAAAUAAAUAGAUGCGAGCUCCCCAGAAUGAUUAAUUGAUUAAAUCUAUGAAUUGCCCAGCCCUAGUUUAAAUAUACAUUUUCUCUCAGAUUUAUUUUGGGCAGUACUAAUAAUACUGAAAUUAAUUUAUUACACUGGGUCAUGGUUUCUAGGCAAUUAAAUUCUGUAAUAUAAUUAGGAUGCAAUUUUGUCAGAUGCAUUUGGCCACCAAGAACUAAUUUUACACCGUUUUUGCAUUCCACACAAAUAAGCACCGUAUCAACACUAUCUACAUACCGUAUUUUCACAACCACGGGGUCUAUUUCUGUAUUUAACACAUACAUAAGGCGCACCGUAUUAUUGGGCA
Phycodurus eques (leafy seadragon) is the source of this 939-nucleotide long non-coding RNA. RefSeq lists it as uncharacterized. The transcript is spliced from 3 exons. Lineage: Eukaryota; Metazoa; Chordata; Actinopteri; Syngnathiformes; Syngnathidae. The record is from RefSeq and is a predicted model, not a curated record.